Molecule: long non-coding RNA, 1842 nt
Organism: Sebastes umbrosus (honeycomb rockfish)
Lineage: Eukaryota; Metazoa; Chordata; Actinopteri; Perciformes; Sebastidae
Exons: 2
Source: RefSeq, a predicted model, not a curated record
AACGGGGUCGAUCUCGCACCUGAUUGGACAAUGUGAGCCACCGGAGUGUUUGAUUGGAGGGGAUAGCCUGUCAAUCAAGACUAGAUGUCCCGCCUACUGGCUAUCUCGUCGCUGAUUGGCCGGUUGUUUUAAAGCACUGAGCGCCCUUUCUCUGUCUGCAGAGCAGAGAUGGAGGGGAUCAAAUUACAAGCAAAAAAAAAAGGAAUAAUGUGACGAUUUGAAAACACUGCAGCCACUCCUCCUUUUCUAUAUUUAACACUUGAAACAAAAUGUGUUCCUGCUUAAGAGUGCUUGCACUUUCACUGUUUUACAAACCUGGUAAAUGGAGUCAUAUACACACUGCAAUUUGCACAUUAAAACAAGCAUAAUUAAGCAAUUCAUUAUUCUAUUACAAGAUAACUUAAAGACACAACAUACCUACAUAUAGCCUCAGAGCUAUACAUCCCCUUUACAAAUUAAAAUGUAUUCACAUAUUAAAAUUGGCAAUUGAUAAUAGUUUGAUAUCAAUGUACAUUAAUUAAUAAAUGUCAAUUAUACUUAUAUAUUAUAUUUUUCUUAAUGUAUAGUCAUUGGAGAACAGUCAGUUAGUGAACUAUAGUUGUCUGUUUCAUUUGAUACAAAGAAAAGGAAAAAAAUCAUGUGCCACACUGGCUGAGGAUAGGCUAUAGCAAUAAAUGUGUUGCUUUGUGAUUUGUGAGUAUCAGAGAUAGUAAUGGGGUGUGGUGUGUGUGGUACAGUAAGUGUGUGUGUGUAACUACAGUACUGUGUGUAAACCUUUACAGCAUGCACUGAAUUACAGCUAUUGUCAUAAUACUAUUAAAUGUGAUUUUUUUCCCCCUGGAAAAGUACAAAGUGAGCAAAAAUUAUAACAUGCACCCUAUGAAUGAUGUUUCUGGGGGUAUUUGAUGACAGAUGGAAGUGCUUUUCCAGACCUCAUAGACGCUUCUGAAAUAUAUUUCAAGUGUAACUGAUAAAACAUGAUUUAAAUGUUAUAUUUCUCCAAAUAUUGUUCCCUUUUCCUGUUAAUUAAGAAUCCCUUUAUCUUGUUGAUAUAGUGUUUUGUCUGAUUUCCCUAACCGGCUGUUUCUGUUCUCCUUCGGAAGUUCUUUGAGGUGAACUUUCUUUGCCGUCACUCAUCCACUGUAAAACCAGAGGAAGUGGCAACACACAACUUUGCGGGCCCUGAACUCUGUUAUUUAAGCCUGCACAUGGUCAGAGCCUCAGUUAGAAAGAAGCCAAAAAUAUGUUUUUGCUUUAUCACAGGUAAAAUCUACACAUUUUGUGCCAUGACACUCUGACCUACAAUGGAAUCCCUCAACUUUCAACAAAACCAUUGGAGCGGGAACGACCUUUUUUGCCACGCCUGUCAUUGUUUGCGACCACACACAGCUAUCAUAAAACAUUAACCUGCAGUUAUCAGCUAGUUGUCAGAGCAACAGAGUAAUUUCCACUUGCUUAACUUUAGAUUACCUAAACAUAUUUGCGUGUGCUCUAGAUAAAAUGGAUUUAAAUAUUUCUAGACUAAUGUUUGUGUCCUUAACUUGCCCCAACACUCCCACGGAGGGUAUCUUGACACAAGUAUGCUUUCAGUCUCUAAUUUUAGGGCCUCCGAGGGACAUAAUCCUACACCACCUCACUUAUCUUCUCCAUGCCAUGAAGAGAAGAAGCCUCCAGGCCCUAUUUAGUUAUUCACCUCACAUUCAGCGGAAAUAUAAUUAUAAAGACUGUAAUUACUUGCAGAGAUCAAAGGGUUGUGUGUCAGUGUAGUAGGUGGUUACUUUGAGUAAUUUGAGAUUUAUUUUCUGUCUAGGUUUUUUUUUUCAACUUAUGCUGAAAAUAAGU